UUUAUCUUUGGACCUUUUUCUUUGUAUAAAUACCUACCAGGAGUGCUAAGGGAGAGACGAAAAAUAACUGGAGAGAGAAAGUAGAAGAACAAGUAGAGAGAUAGAGGAGGGGGAGGAGAAAGGUAGAAUAGAGAAAGCGCACUUAAACCGACCUCUCGUUCUCUUCGCUUUCUCCAAAAAUUCUCCGAUCGGUGCAUAGAUAUAUUAAAGCAAAGGAAGGAAAUAAAUCAUGUCUUCGCUUAGCAGAGAGCUUGUUUUUCUCAUACUUCAGUUUCUUGAUGAAGAGAAGUUUAAAGAGACUGUUCACAAAUUGGAGCAAGAGUCAGGGUUUUUCUUCAACAUGAGGUAUUUUGAAGAUACGGUGACAAAUGGGGAGUGGGAUGAGGUAGAGAAGUACCUGUCAGGGUUCACAAAGGUUGAUGAUAACAGAUACUCCAUGAAGAUUUUCUUUGAGAUUCGAAAACAGAAGUACCUUGAAGCUCUAGACAAGCGUGAUCGGGCAAAAGGGGUGGAUAUUUUAGUGAAGGACCUGAAAGUGUUUGCUGCAUUCAAUGAGGAACUUUUUAAAGAAAUUACACAACUACUGACAUUGGAAAACUUUAGAGAUAAUGAACAGCUAUCUAAAUAUGGAGAUACUAAGUCUGCUAGAGGUAUAAUGCUUGCUGAACUAAAGAAAUUGAUAGAGGCUAACCCUCUUUUCCGUGAUAAGCUUCAGUUUCCUACAUUGAAGAAUUCAAGAUUGCGGACGCUUAUUAAUCAGAGUUUAAAUUGGCAACAUCAGCUUUGUAAGAAUCCAAGGCCUAACCCUGAUAUAAAGACCCUAUUUGUGGAUCACAGUUGUGGACAACCGAAUGGCGCACGUGCCCCAUCCCCUGUCACUAAUCCUUUAAUGGGUGCUGUGCCUAAGGCAGUGGCUUUUCCACCGCUGAGCAUUCAUGGUCCAUUUCAACCCGCCCCUGCCACUCUUCCAACAUCUCUUACUGGAUGGAUGGCAAAUCCAGCUCCUGUCCCUCACCCAUCUGCUUCUGCUGGUCCAAUUGGUUUAUCUGCUCCUAACAAUGCAGCAAUCCUAAAACGUCCUAGGACUCCUACGAAUAAUCCAGCAAUGGAUUAUCAAACAGCAGAUUCUGAACAUGUAUUGAAGAGAACAAGGCCAUUUGGAAUAUCAGAUGAGGUCAAUAAUCUACCCAUUAAUAUUCUGCCCAUUGCAUACUCCAGUCAGACACAUGGACAAAGCUCCUAUUCUUCUGAUGACUUGCCCAAAACUCUUGUUAUGUCUUUGAAUCAAGGUUCAGCAGUCAAGAGCAUGGAUUUCCAUCCAGUGCAACAAAUUCUACUUCUUGUUGGAACAAACAUGGGUGAUGUCAUGGUAUGGGAGUUGGGUAGCAGGGAGAGGAUUGCUAUCAGGAAUUUUACAGUUUGGGAACUUGGCGCACGCUCAAUGGGUUUGCAGGCAUCUCUCACCAAUGACUGUACGGCAUCAGUUAACCGUGUCGUGUGGAGUCCUGAUGGAUCUCUUUUUGGUGUUGCAUACUCGAAGCACAUAGUGCACCUAUAUUCCUACCAUGGCAGUGAUGAUGUAAAAAACUACCGUGAGAUUGAAGCUCAUGUUGGGAGUGUUAACGAUCUUGCCUUUUCUUAUCCGAAUGACCGACUAAGUGUUGUCACUUGUGGCGAGGACAGGGUUAUUAAGGUUUGGGAACCAGUUACAGGAAAUCUAAAAUUUACUUUUGAGGGUCAUGAAGCGGCUGUAUACUCUGUAUGUCCACAUCACAAGGAAAAUAUUCAGUUUAUCUUUUCAACAGCUACUGAUGGAAAGAUAAAGGCAUGGUUGUAUGAUAACCUGGGUUCUAGAGUUGACUAUGAUGCACCAGGCCGCUCACCCACCACAAUGGCAUACAGUGCUGAUGGAACAAGGUUAUUUUCAUGUGGGACAAACAAAGAAGGAGAAUCACACUUGGUGGAGUGGAAUGAAAGUGAAGGAACUGUUAAGCUUGCUUAUGUUGGUCUUGGGAAACGAUCUGUGGGGGUUGUGCAAUUUGAUACUACUAAGAAUCGCUUCUUGGCUGCUGGUGAUGAGUUCAUGGUAAAAUUCUGGGACAUGGACAAUGUCAACCUCUUGACAAGCAUUGAUGCAGAGGGUGGAUUGACGGCUGCUCCUUGUAUCAGAUUCAACAAGGAUGGAGCAUUGUUAGCUGUCUCAACAAAUGACAAUAGCGUUAAAAUUCUAGCAAACUCGGAUGGUAUUAGGCUUCUACGGACGGUAGAGAAUCGUACAUUUGAUGCUUCUAGAGUUGCUUCAGCAGCUGUUGUGAAGGCACCGGGAAUAGGCAAUUAUGCUUCCGUCAAUGCUACUGUUGGACCCAGCAUUGGGGAUAGAGCUGCUUCUGUGGCACCUUUUGUUGGAAUAACGAGUGUUGAUAUCUCUGCUCUGUCUAAUGUCUUGAAUCUUUUGAUUAUCUUCAUAUUAUUAACAUAAUUGUUGCAUUUUUCUUUUGAGUUUUUGCAGAACAGUGAUAAUCGAACUUUGGUUGAUGUGAAACCUAGAAUUGCAGAUGAACCAGUUGAAGCUGCUAGGACCUGGAAAUUGACAGAAAUAAGUGAGCCAUCACAGUGCCGCUCUCUGAGGCUCCCUGAUAAUUCGACUGCCAUGAGGGUUUCUAGAUUGAUUUAUACAAAUUCAGGACUUGCUAUAUUGGCAUUAGCAUCAAAUGCAGUGCACAAACUCUGGAAAUGGCAGAGAAAUGAUCGAAAUCUAAAUGGGAAGGCCACUGCUAGUGUAGUACCACAAUUAUGGCAACCCUCUAGUGGAAUAUUGAUGACUAAUGAUAUGAGUGAAACAAACCCUGAAGAUGCUGUUCCAUGUUUUGCACUUUCGAAGAAUGACUCUUAUGUUAUGUCAGCUUCAGGGGGAAAAAUCUCUCUUUUCAACAUGAUGACAUUUAAGACAAUGACUACAUUCAUGCCCCCACCACCAGCCGCCACAUUCCUGGCGUUUCAUCCUCAGGACAAUAAUAUCAUUGCCAUUGGAAUGGAGGACUCUUCUAUCCAAAUUUAUAAUGUCCGCGUUGAUGAGGUUAAAACAAAAUUAAAAGGCCAUCAGAAAAGAAUUACGGGCCUCGCUUUCUCUCACUCACUAAAUGUGCUCGUCUCUUCUGGAGCUGACGCCCAGUUGUGUGUUUGGAGCACGGAUGGUUGGGAGAAGCAGACUAGUAAAUUCUUGGAAGUUCCACCUGGACGAGGUUCAGCUUCUCUUGCAGAUACGCGGGUUCAAUUUCACCUUGACCAGACGCAUCUGCUGGCAGUUCACGAAUCGCAAAUAGCUAUAUAUGAAGCACCAAAAUUCGAACGCCUUAAACAGUGGUUUCUUCCUCGAGAAGCAACUGGUCCAAUUACACAUGCUGCAUAUUCUUGUGAUAGCCAGUCCAUAUAUGUUAGCUUCGAAGAUGGUAGCGUUGGUGUUCUUACUGCUUCAACACUAAGUUUGAGAUGCAGAAUAAAUGCUACUGCUUAUUUACCCCCCAAUCCUAGCAUGAGGGUAUAUCCUCUUGUCAUUGCUGCACAUCCGUCUGAGCCCAAUCAGUUUGCAUUAGGACUAACGGAUGGGGGAGUCCAUGUGCUUGAACCAUUGGAGAUGGAAGGAAAAUGGGGCACCUCCCCUCCAGUUGAAAAUGGUGCUGGUCCUAGCACCACUUCUGUUGCAGCUGGUUCAGAACAAGCUCAAAGGUGACUACUGCAUGCAUGGCUUUCACCAAGUACCUUGAGUGUAUGUAUCCGUUCCUUCUGAUCCCGCUCUCUGGGCCCACCACAAUGUGAUUGUCGAGGGGAAGCUGCGGAAAUUAGGUGGUGGUAGUUUUAGUAUACUUCAGCUGUGGCUUCAGCUCAACCUGACAGAUGGUUAAUCAUAACUAUAGCGUCACAAAGCAUGAUGAUAUCUUUGGUUCCCCAUAUUUGAGAAUGAUCAGAGAAAGAAAGAAUGUUUAUGGUGUAAAUUCAGAAGUUGAAUGCGUCAAAAACUAAAAUGAAGGUUGUGAGGUUAAUGAGUUGGUUGGGGUAGGAGAAGUGGCUGUGUCAUAUGUUCAUUUUUUAUGUUAGUUUCAAGGAUAGUGAUCUAAUCAAUUAGGUGUAGUGAAUGUUUGUUACCCUUUUCUGUCGGUCUCUCAAUUAUCUUCCCAAUUUAUCAUAUACAAAUAUAAUGUCAAUACCAUCUCUUUUUCCAAUUGGUGACUUUAAUAACUGGGCCUUUUCUUUUGCCUCAGACGCUUGACUGAGACAUUGUUGGGGUUGGAGCUUGGAGGUAUAUGGGGGUUAAGGAGAAUGGUGUCAAAUUGUUUAUAGUCUUUCUAUAACUCGAAUCAUGCAAAAAAGUGACUUGAUUUGAAUAACUUUCUAUGCUUGCAUAGUUUGUCAAGAGUGAAUAGAGUCACUGGUGAAUUUUUUCAAUAGAAAUCUGCAUUAAUUCUC
RNAcentral lists this unclassified non-coding RNA (4464 nucleotides) under Hevea brasiliensis (rubber tree). The record is from RNAcentral. Lineage: Eukaryota; Viridiplantae; Streptophyta; Magnoliopsida; Malpighiales; Euphorbiaceae.